GUGGCUAUAGUAUAGUGGUUAGUAUACCUCAUUGUGGUUACACACACUCAGAAAUCUGAGGAGACGCCUGUUCGAUUCUGGCUAGCCACA
RNAcentral lists this transfer RNA (90 nucleotides) under Talaromyces islandicus. RNAcentral's name for it is "Penicillium islandicum tRNA". It matches the Rfam family "tRNA". From Rfam's summary of the family: Transfer RNA (tRNA) molecules are approximately 80 nucleotides in length. The record is from Rfam by way of RNAcentral. Lineage: Eukaryota; Fungi; Ascomycota; Eurotiomycetes; Eurotiales; Trichocomaceae.